AUUGAACGCUGGCGGCAGGCCUAACACAUGCAAGUCGAGCAGGGUUUUCGGACCUAGCGGCGGACGGGUGAGUAAUGCGUAGGAAGCUGCCCGAUAGAGGGGGAUACCAGUUGGAAACGACUGUUAAUACCGCAUAAUGUCUACGGACCAAAGUGUGGGACCUUCGGGCCACAUGCUAUCGGAUGCGCCUACGUGGGAUU
This 200-nucleotide ribosomal RNA is filed under the name uncultured bacterium. RNAcentral describes it as "partial 16S ribosomal RNA". It matches the Rfam family "Bacterial small subunit ribosomal RNA", at positions 30 to 242 of the family's 1533-position model. The record is from RNAcentral.